UGAAGUCAGUGCAGGUCUGUAUGCUCCUGUUCUUGUUUAGUUCCAUUUUUAAAAGUGAAUUUGCACUGAAUCUUUAUCCUGGGCAUUUGAAACAGACUCUGUAUUUUGUGGCAGAGAUUUCAUCUCUAAAGCUGUAACGAGUUUGACUACCACAGCACUUUAAUGCCAGACAGAUAUCAAGAAUCGCUGUUGCCUCUCAAUACCCCUUUGAUUGGAAGAAACCAGAGAGUCUGAGGGUUUCUGGAAAUAGCUAUUAGUUUGUAGCUAGUGUGUUUAGCAACUGGUAACCGCUCACCCAAAUCUGAGGACAGUUUUUAAUCUGUCAGUAGGAUUUUAAAAGUAUCUUCAACUGUUUGGUUUGCCCCUUUCUGGCCAGUGGGUAAUCUGUAUUCAUCAGAGCAGGCUUUAUCUUUGUAUGGUCCUCUGAAACCAUGUUCCACACCUUUCCCCCAAUGUAAGCAGCUUCUGUCCACCAUCACUCUACUGUGCCUGGGCUUCCCCUUAGGGGAAGGUCAGGGCAAUGAUUCUCUGUGGAACACCUAUUGCAACUUGACACACACAGAGGGGGAUGGGGAGGUUAUCUGUUCCUUUACUCUCAUCACCCUGCCCCCUACAUUCCAAACCACCUCAUGCAGGAGAAACGGGACCCGACUGUCCUGGGUCUAUACAGAAGUGCCAACACUUAUGUGAUCCGUGGUACCUGGGGCAGCCCUCACUGGAAAUGCCAAGGUCAGAGCAGGCUGCAAAAGGGAGAGCAGAUAUUCCCAAGACUGGUGGGUAACACUGAAGUUAAACUCCCCAACCAGACUCAAACUGUGCUUCUCAUCCUCCACACUGGUUAUCAAGAAGCAAUAAAGAAAUCACACCGCCCCCUUUAUUGCAUUCCAGUUCUCUGGCUCCCAAUCACCACCUAGGUCCGGUUCACUGAGAAGUUAUUUAAAAUAACUCUGCUCACAUAUACAGAAUGUUCUUCUCACCCCAAAGGGUCAGCCAUGUUACCAGGUCAGUAUAGGUUUGGAUCUUACCCAAAAUACCACUCUGCCAGCCAAUCCUUUAGUGUCGAAAACUAAAGGUUUAUUAUAAAGAAAGAAGAGAGAUGUUAAUGGUAAAACAGUCACAUACAUCCAAAGACUUCAAAAUCCAUAUAUCAGGUUCCUAGCAGUAUUGGUGACUUUGCUGGCUUGCAAGUCCCUCUGGGACACAUCCACAGCUCGGAUGGGUCAUUCAGUCCUUUGUUCAGAGCAUCAGUUUGUAGCAAAGUUCCUUCAGAGGUAAGAAACACGAUUGAAGACGUGGAGAAGAUGCAGCUGCCCUUUAUAGUCUUUUGCUUGUUACACUUUUAUAAUAUUGAUAUUCAUAAUAUCCUCGAGUGUCCCCCAGAUUCCAUACAGCGUCACAACUCGUCUCCAGGACACCUCUCCAAAUAAGCAGCCGCAGCCCAUGCGUUAUGAUGAAUGUUGCCACUUGCAUGUCACCGGAGUGAGAGUCCUGAGUGCGCUUUGCUGGCCCCAGGAUGUCUGGCUCCUUUCAAAUGGACCUUGUGCUUUAUCUGACUGUCAGAGGCAGUGGUAGCCUGGUGCAUUGAACCUCGUGUUGGGAGCCCGGAAUCCUGAAUUCUGAUCCCAGCUCGGAGACCAUUGCUGUGUGGCCUUGACCCAAGUAACUUCGCCUCCCCAUGCCUCAGUUUCCCUAUCUGUAAAAUGGGAAUGGUACCACUUACCUCGCUGGGAGACCAUGCAGGAGAACUCGAGUGUAUGCAAUGCUUUGAAAAUGUCUGUAAGGAAACCUCAGUCAUGUCAGACCCUUCUUUGCUGUGCAGUGUGGCUUUCAUCAUAGCCAGAAUGGUGGUAUAGUUACAAAUUAUCUAUUAAUCAUGUACCUGAUAUGGUUCUGUUUUUGCAACUUUUCCCACUGCUUCUUUACACUUCAAAGUACCUCUUAAUAUGUUUAACAUCUUUAGUCUCCUUCCUCUGCAAUAGGUCGUUGGUGAGCAUUUAGCACCGUAGAACAUAGUGUUUUCCCUGUAGAAAGCAUGCCAUAGACUCUAUUCCAUUUGUAAAUAAAGAAUCUCUUACCACA
Long non-coding RNA from Malaclemys terrapin pileata, 2079 nucleotides. RefSeq lists it as uncharacterized. The transcript has 2 exons. NCBI's taxonomy places the organism in Eukaryota, Metazoa, Chordata, Testudines, Emydidae. The record is from RefSeq and is a predicted model, not a curated record.